UCCUGUCUUGCCUCCUCGGUGUUUCUUCCCUGCAGUCUUCUUCCCCAUGGUCGGGGCUCUAGGGUUCGGUGGAGCGGAAGGUGAGGGGGGAGGGGUAGUCUUGGCCGAUAGUCAGGUGGGGUGGUGACCUGCGGUGGAUGCGGAAGAGGGAGUCUUGCUCGGCGGUGGAGGAGGUGAAGCGGUGGCCGGCGGUGGAGGAGGUGACGACGUGUUCUAGGGUUCGGUGGAGGCGGAUGGUGGGGAUGAGGGGGGUCUUGGCCGGCUGUGGGGGUGGGGUCGUGACAGGCUGUGGAUGUGGAAGAGGGAGGACACUCGUGCUUGGCGGUGGAAGAGGUGAAGCGGUGGCCGGCGGUGGAGGAGGUGAAGCAGUGGCCGGCGGCGGUGGAGGCGGAAGGGGAAUGGGGAGGGGAUUUGGCGAACUGCGGGGUAGGGGUGGGCGUGUGUGCGAGCAAAACUCUUAACAGUAUUUCUUGCGUGUAAAAUUAC
RNAcentral lists this long non-coding RNA (486 nucleotides) under Hordeum vulgare. RNAcentral's name for it is "long non-coding RNA (HVUL_LNC017669)". Lineage: Eukaryota; Viridiplantae; Streptophyta; Magnoliopsida; Poales; Poaceae. The record is from RNAcentral.